UGAAAAUAUAAAUUAUUUAAAACUUUCAACAACGGAUCCCUUGGUUCCGGCAUCUAUGAAGAACGCAGUGAAAUGCGAUACGCAAUGUGAAUUGCAAAUUCAGUGAAUCAUCGAGUCUUUGAACGCACAUUGCGCCCCCUGGUAUUCUGGGGGGCA
Molecule: ribosomal RNA, 156 nt
Filed under: Penicillium verrucosum
Lineage: Eukaryota; Fungi; Ascomycota; Eurotiomycetes; Eurotiales; Aspergillaceae
Description: 5.8S ribosomal RNA
Rfam family: 5.8S ribosomal RNA (bases 21-156)
About the family: 5.8S ribosomal RNA (5.8S rRNA) is a component of the large subunit of the eukaryotic ribosome. It is transcribed by RNA polymerase I as part of the 45S precursor that also contains 18S and 28S rRNA. Functionally, it is thought that 5.8S rRNA may be involved in ribosome translocation.
Source: RNAcentral